Molecule: ribosomal RNA, 253 nt
Filed under: uncultured bacterium
Lineage: Bacteria
Description: partial 16S ribosomal RNA
Rfam family: Bacterial small subunit ribosomal RNA
Source: RNAcentral
UACAGAGGGUGCGAGCGUUAAUCGGAAUUACUGGGCGUAAAGCGUGCGUAGACGGUUUUGUAAGUCGGAUGUGAAAUCCCCGGGCUCAACCUGGGAAUUGCAUUCGAGACUGCAAGGCUUGGGUGCGGAAGAGGGAAGCGGAAUUUCCGGUGUAGCGGUGAAAUGCGUAGAUAUCGGAAGGAACAUCAGUGGCGAAAGCGGCUUCCUGGUCCACCACCGACGUUCAGGCACGAAAGCGUGGGGAGCAAACAGG